UGGGGAAUAUUGCACAAUGGGCGCAAGCCUGAUGCAGCCAUGCCGCGUGUAUGAAGAAGGCCUUCGGGUUGUAAAGUACUUUCAGUCGGGAGGAAGGUGGUAAGGUUAAUAACCUUGUCGAUUGACGUUACCCGCAGAAGAAGCACCGGCUAACUCCGUGCCAGCAGCCGCGGUAAUACGGAGGGUGCAAGCGUUAAUCGGAAUUACUGGGCGUAAAGCGCACGCAGGCGGUCUGUCAAGUCGGAUGUGAAAUCCCCGGGCUCAACCUGGGAACUGCAUUCGAUACUGGCAGGCUAGAGUCUUGUAGAGUGGGGUAGAAUUCCAGGUGUAGCGGUGAACUGCGUAGAGAUCUGGAGGAAUACCGGUGGCGAAGGCGGCCCCCUGGACAAAGACUGACGCUCAGGUGCGAAAGCGUGGGGAUCAAACAGG
RNAcentral lists this ribosomal RNA (429 nucleotides) under Chloroflexota bacterium. RNAcentral's name for it is "Chloroflexi bacterium partial 16S ribosomal RNA". It matches the Rfam family "Bacterial small subunit ribosomal RNA", at positions 355 to 776 of the family's 1533-position model. Lineage: Bacteria; Bacillati; Chloroflexota. The record is from RNAcentral.